Molecule: ribosomal RNA, 325 nt
Filed under: uncultured eukaryote
Lineage: Eukaryota
Description: partial 18S ribosomal RNA
Rfam family: Eukaryotic small subunit ribosomal RNA
Source: RNAcentral
CCCUUAGAUGUUCUGGGCCGCACGCGUGCUACACUGAGUGGAUCAGCGGGUCAGGUUACGCGAGAGCGUUUCCUAAUCUUCAAAUCCGCUCGUGAUGGGGAUUGACGGUUGCAAUUUUCCGUCAUGAACGAGGAAUACCUUGUAAGCGCGAGUCAUCAGCUCGCGUUGAUUACGUCCCUGCCCUUUGUACACACCGCCCGUCGCUACUACCGAUUGAAUGGUUUAGUGAGGACUCCUGAUUGGCGCCGCCGCCCCGGCAACGGAGCAGCGGACUGCCGAAAAGUUGUUCAAACUUGAUCAUUUAGAGGAAGUAAAAGUCGUAACA